UACGGGAGGCAGCAGUGGGGAAUAUUGCACAAUGGGCGAAAGCCUGAUGCAGCUAUGCCGCGUGUAUGAAGAAGGCCUUAGGGUUGUAAAGUACUUUCAUCGGGGAGGAAAAAACAAAACUAAUAAUUUUAUUUCUUGACGUUACCCGAAAAAGAAGCACCGGCUAACUCCGUGCCAGCAGCCGCGGUAAUACGGAGGGUGCUAGCGUUAAUCAGAAUUACUGGGCGUAAAGAGCACGUAGGUGGUUUUUUUAAAGUCAGAUGUGAAUCCCUGGGCUUAACCUGGAACUGCAUUUUGAAACUGAAAUACUAGAGUAUCGUAGAGGGAGGUAGAAUUCUAGGUGUAGCGGUGAAAUGCGUAGAUAUCUGGAGGAAUACCUGUGGCGAAAGCGGCCUCCUAAACGAAUACUGAC
RNAcentral lists this ribosomal RNA (412 nucleotides) under uncultured bacterium. RNAcentral describes it as "bacterial SSU rRNA". It matches the Rfam family "Bacterial small subunit ribosomal RNA", at positions 340 to 744 of the family's 1533-position model. The record is from RNAcentral.